UAAGCGUUGGAAACGACGUCUAAUACUGGAUAUGACGGCCGAUCGCAUGGUCUGGUCGUGGAAAGAAUUUUGGUUGGGGAUGGACUCGCGGCCUAUCAGGUAGUUGGUGAGGUAAUGGCUCACCAAGCCGACGACGGGUAGCCGGCCUGAGAGGGUGACCGGCCACACUGGGACUGAGACACGGCCCAGACUCCUACGGGAGGCAGCAGUGGGGAAUAUUGCACAAUGGGCGCAAGCCUGAUGCAGCAACGCCGCGUGAGGGAUGACGGCCUUCGGGUUGUAAACCUCUUUUAGUAGGGAAGAAGCGAAAGUGACGGUACCUGCAGAAAAAGCACCGGCUAACUACGUGCCAGCAGCCGCGGUAAUACGUAGGGUGCAAGCGUUGUCCGGAAUUAUUGGGCGUAAAGAGCUCGUAGGCGGUUUGUCGCGUCUGCUGUGAAAUCCCGAGGCUCAACCUCGGGCUUGCAGUGGGUACGGGCAGACUAGAGUGCGGUAGGGGAGAUUGGAAUUCCUGGUGUAGCGGUGGAAUGCGCAGAUAUCAGGAGGAACACCGAUGGCGAAGGCAGAUCUCUGGGCCGUAACUGACGCUGAGGAGCGAAAGCGUGGGGAGCGAACAGGAUUAGA
Molecule: ribosomal RNA, 624 nt
Filed under: bacterium
Lineage: Bacteria
Description: bacterial SSU rRNA
Rfam family: Bacterial small subunit ribosomal RNA
Source: RNAcentral